Molecule: long non-coding RNA, 2513 nt
Organism: Morone saxatilis (striped sea-bass)
Lineage: Eukaryota; Metazoa; Chordata; Actinopteri; Moronidae
Exons: 2
Source: RefSeq, a predicted model, not a curated record
CAUUGUUGAUCGCGCUACAGAUGUUUCCUAGCAACUGAUUAACACAUUACUAAAGUCGUCUAGAUAAGAUAAAUAGCUAGUUAAUAAUAAUAAUAAUAAUAAUCUUUAUUUAUAGAGCACUUUAAAUGUAUAUUUAUGAAGAGCUGCUGCAACACGUACAGGUUUAUAAUGAACAUUACAGACUCACACGGUGUUUAAUGAUCAAUAUAAAUGAUCUUAUUGUAAACGGACAGGUUUACAGAUCUGGUUCUGUCUCUGUUCAGUUCCCUCGUCCUCAUCCUGAGGCCUGUGAGUGAAUAGAGGUGUUGUGUAAUCCUGUUACGUAUGCUCUCUGUGUGUUACUGAGGUCUGCAGCGGCAAGCCUGAAGCCGGAAAGUUAAAGGAAAGAGGGUGAGCGAGGAAAGUACAAUCUUCUGUUUAGUUUACAGUUCUGUUUCUGGUAUUUAUUUUUCGGCUCGGGGAGUGAACGUCUACAGCUGCUCUGAUUGGAGGCUCGUUUUCUAACUCCAGAAGCUCUUAAAAAUGUCUCUGUGGCUUUGGCGGCGCUCCGUUAUUGUGUUUCUGUUUAAGGAGAAGCAGAGGAGAGAAAGUGUCUCUGUGUUGAGUUUGUUUCCUCAAUCUGACUCAUGUCUCUCUUGGGGGCCAAAUGAAGUCACAGAUGAAUAAAUAUUUCUCCGGCAGAGGGAAAAGAGUUUGAUGCUGAACCUCGUCCAAGUUCCUCAUUCCAGCUCCCCUCACUAAGUUUCUAUAAACUCUCCCCUCAGCCCAACAGUCAGUCUGAUGUUAGCUUCCACUCUCCUUUAGAGGGCUCAGGCUCAGUAUCAAACCUCCGGACUGGUCCCAGUUCUGAAAACUGUUCAGAUUUUUAAGGGCAACACACUCGCAGUGUGCGACGUCCCUGGAAACACGUUCGAUGUAAAUAAAAGUUUCUCAACGAUAUUAAUGUACGGUGCAGAGUUGGGCUUUAGUUCUUGGUGCUGUUGACAUCGCCAGUAAAUACGUGAGCUCGCUAGCUAGUUAGCUGUUGGACUGUGAGAGAGCGACGGAGCAGAGGUGUAGUGGAGGUAAACCCAGGUAGACUCAGUUAAUCCACCUCUUUGAAUUAAAGUUCCCAGUUUAGUUGCUGUAGUCAAGACCAACUUUGUCUAGUCCAAGACCAGGAGAACUCAAGACCAAGAGUACAAAGAGGUUCAAGUCCAAAUGACAGAAAGAUAAAAAUACUUUCACCAAUGAGAUGAGUUUGGCUCAGUGUCAGGACCCGGUUUCUACCUGGAUUCUGAAUUAAACGUGUUUUCUGAACAAGCCGAAUCAGUUGGUUUGUUCUCAGUUACUUCAGUUCAAAACAUAUAUUGUUGGACUCUGUCGAGACCAACGGCUGAGUCUGAGUCCAAAUACCAACGAGUCCGAGAUCUCGGGUACUACGGCUCUGGUCCAAUGGCGAGGUGUUCCUUUAAACUGUGAGAUUUUGGGCAACGCUGAUGAAACAUAACGCCGAACUCGAGGCUUUAAUACGGAUCUCUGCAAACCGAUGGGUGACGUGACGAUAGGUUCACACCUGGUUCAGAUGUGUUGUUGCACUUUUGUUCACUUUGAUCAGAAACUUCCAAACUGAAAACCAAAUAUGUGGAUCUUUUAGUUCUUUACAUAAGAUAACACAUGAUAUCGAUCUACUCUGAGGGCUCCAUACACACAUUUUAUAUAAAGGCUUUACAGAAGACUCUGAUUAUAAGCAUCAGCUGUGUAUCAACUCCAGUCUCUUCCCUGAUUCCUGGAGCAUCCGAGCAUGAAGCCCUCCAUCCUCCUCCCUCCCUCCAGUGUUUGUGGAUCAAUUUACUGAAUUCAAAUUGUUUGUCUGACUUUAUCUUUUCAGGAUAGAGUUCACAUCUGAUUUUACCUCUCUAUAAUCAACCUCAGCAGACACACAGUGUGUUAGGAAGAACCUGAGCGCCUGAAUAAGACGUCAACCUCAGCUUCUGUAGUCGCCUCCGUUUUCUUUCUGAGGACGACGCUGAAGAAUGAAUCCACUGAUUCUCGACUAUGCAGUUUGUUUUUAUUUCACCUUUUUCUGUCGUCGGAGCUGCUUGUGAAUAGCAAAAAAAAACGUCUUUACACCAAAGUGCCUUCAGGAAUCUGUCGUUUCUACAGUCUGAUUGUGUGUUGAGGAUUUUUAAAGCGAGGGGAGAGAUUUCAGCCUCGAGCGGGUCGAGUUGCAUCGACAGGAAGUGUGACGUUAGCGUUAGCGUUGGAGCACGGAGAGGAGAUCGUGUGACUUUCUUUUUUUUUUUUGUUAAAAUGAUUAAACUGUGAUUAAAUCCAAAUGAAUUUCAGCCUGAGUUUAGUCUAGUCUGCGAGUUAACAGUAAUCUGCUGAUCUCUCACUGCUGUUCUUAGACGAACAUAUUUUAGGUGUAAAAGUCGAACCACAGAAGUUUAAACGUCUUCGUGUGUUUUUGAGGUUUUGAGUUCUUCUGUGUUUGGUUUUAAUGUUAAAUGCAAUAAACGUGUGAAACCGUA